Molecule: transfer RNA, 84 nt
Filed under: Candidatus Kerfeldbacteria bacterium RIFCSPLOWO2_01_FULL_48_11
Lineage: Bacteria; Candidatus Kerfeldiibacteriota
Also listed under: 1 other name
Description: tRNA-Leu
Rfam family: tRNA
About the family: Transfer RNA (tRNA) molecules are approximately 80 nucleotides in length. Their secondary structure includes four short double-helical elements and three loops (D, anti-codon, and T loops).
Source: RNAcentral
GCUGGAGUGGCGGAAAUGGCAUACGCGCUAGCCUUAGGAGCUAGUGGGAGCAAUCCCGUGGGAGUUCGACUCUCCCCUCCAGCA